This 253-nucleotide ribosomal RNA is filed under the name uncultured bacterium. Its description in RNAcentral is "partial 16S ribosomal RNA". It matches the Rfam family "Bacterial small subunit ribosomal RNA", at positions 524 to 776 of the family's 1533-position model. The record is from RNAcentral.
UACGUAGGGUGCGAGCGUUGUCCGGAAUUAUUGGGCGUAAAGAGCUCGUAGGCGGCCUGUUACGUCUGCUGUGAAAGCCCGGGGCUCAACUCCGGGUCUGCAGUGGAUACGGGCAGGCUAGAGUCCGGCAGGGGAGACUGGAAUUCCUGGUGUAGCGGUGAAAUGCGCAGAUAUCAGGAGGAACACCGGUGGCGAAGGCGGGUCUCUGGGCCGGUACUGACGCUGAGGAGCGAAAGCGUGGGGAGCAAACAGG